This 985-nucleotide long non-coding RNA is filed under the name Vigna radiata. Its description in RNAcentral is "long non-coding RNA (VRAD_LNC017685)". Lineage: Eukaryota; Viridiplantae; Streptophyta; Magnoliopsida; Fabales; Fabaceae. The record is from RNAcentral.
UUAAACUUAUUUGGUUGUCCCUAGUUUUGCGUUUUUGUCCCACAUUAGUCCCCGAUUUAUUUUCUGUGUCAAUUAAGUUCCUAAUUGUGCAAAAUUGAUAGAAAUUAACCCUUGCCGUUAAAUCCAGUUAACGGGGUUAAGUUUUAAUUUACCUGUCCUGGUGAGCUGGCCACAGACCCUGACGUGGCGUGCGGAUGACCAUGUGACGUGUUAGAUUUAUUGGUCACGUGCCCCUUAACUUAAAAAUUUGGGGAUUUUAAUUAACAUUCUUUUAAAAUUAGGGUUAGUGUUAAAAAUUGGAUUUGGAUUGAUGUUCGCAAGCAGAGGUGAAAGUGAAUGUAUGUUUGCAAACAGAGAUAGAAAGAUGAUUUAGGGUUUGGUGUUGUUCAACAUUGUCAUUCGAAAGCAAUUGGAAAGCAAUUGAAGGUUGGAAGUUGGAAAUGAAGAAGCAAAGUGAUUUCGAACUUUCUGUCAUGCUUGAUCAAAUGUAAUUUUCGUGCUCGGUCAUUUUAUAUCGAGAGGGAAACCGGAAGAGGAAAGUGAUCUUAUAAAUAGAUCUUACUUUGCUAUCGGGUCUGGGAGAAUUGGACAACACUUUAUUUUAGCUUACAAAAGUUAAACCACUUUAAUUUUUUAUUUUAUUUUUCUCUUCAAGAUGGAGGUAUCUGUGGAGAAAUUUCUCACCUUGGUAUGUUUCAGUCUACUUGAUUUUAGUCAGUUUCACUUUGCUGAUAAACUGCAGUGGUUGAUGUAUGUCUUUUCCAAUUUUUCUUUGUUUCUGCAAUGGUUGUGGCUAUGAUGCCUCCAGUGAUACUGUUGAUUUAAUAUAGCAGAAAUUUUGACGAAUCUAGUCACGACACAUUUGAGAAUAAUAAUGAUUUGGAUUCGGGUGUGGGGUGGUGCUAUACAAAACUUCUAAUUUUAUUAUGGAAAUAAACAUGCUGACUUAUUUUAAUUGUGUUAGAAGAUAGUACAUGCAAUGGAG